CAAGAUAUCACACCUUUGAUUAUUAAAGUUGUGAUGAUCAGACACUUUUGAAGACAAAGACAAAGCCGUGAGACUAAAUCGUGAUUGGCCUAAAGUCAACCACCAGAGAAAAGGCUACAUAGCCUGCAACUAAUUUCACUCACCCACUUAUUUGUCUAAUAUUAAAAUCCAUCCAUAGUAAUCAAACUGCUUAUUCCUUCCUUUUUUAUUCUGAAAAAAGUUAAGGUGAAAAACAAAUCAGAUCUAAUGAGUUGUAAGCUGUGAUAAGCAUGAUCACUCUGAUUCCCCGCCAGCAUUAACAGCUACAUAUCUUCAAAAUGAUAUAAUUCAACGCUUCAAGCCCCACCAAAGGCAGAGUUGCUCCUGGAGAAUGGAGAUCCAAGAGAUUAGCCUAAAACCUUCCUGUCGGUUAAUAGUGAUUAUGCAAGUGGCUAGUCUUGGGAUCACUGAAGUAAGGAACUCGACAAACCUUGAAGGAAAAACCACACAUUGGUUCAUACAUAUUGCAAAAAAGUGGCAAAUUCAAUGCACUGGAUGAAGAACGUGGCAAAAAUAGGGUUGAUUUUUUAGUUCUUCGUUCACUAAUGGGUGACUAGUACAUAUUAGCACCGAUUCACGGGAACUAAGUGCAUACAUGGUUAAUGAUGAUGUUGCAUUGUGAAGGAACAAUUUAACAUAGAUGUUGAAUGUCGUGUUAAUAAGUUCUAGUUUAUUCUAUAAA
Molecule: long non-coding RNA, 721 nt
Organism: Lycium barbarum (goji berry)
Lineage: Eukaryota; Viridiplantae; Streptophyta; Magnoliopsida; Solanales; Solanaceae
Exons: 3
Source: RefSeq, a predicted model, not a curated record